Molecule: ribosomal RNA, 511 nt
Filed under: uncultured bacterium
Lineage: Bacteria
Description: bacterial SSU rRNA
Rfam family: Bacterial small subunit ribosomal RNA
Source: RNAcentral
GAUUAUGGCUCAGGAUGAACGCUAGCGACAGGCUUAACACAUGCAAGUCGAGGGGCGGCAUAAAAGUAGCAAUACUUGGUGGCGACCGGCGCACGGGUGAGUAACGCGUAUGCAACCUACCUAUCAGAGGGGAAUAACCCGGCGAAAGUCGGACUAAUACCGCAUAAAACAGGGGCACCGCAUGGUGAUAUUUGUUAAAGAAAUUCGCUGAUAGAUGGGCAUGCGUUCCAUUAGGUAGUUGGUGAGGUAACGGCUCACCAAGCCGACGAUGGAUAGGGGAACUGAGAGGUUGGUCCCCCACACUGGUACUGAGACACGGACCAGACUCCUACGGGAGGCAGCAGUGAGGAAUAUUGGUCAAUGGGCGAGAGCCUGAACCAGCCAAGUCGCGUGAAGGAAGAAGGAUCUAUGGUUACGUAAACUUCUUUUGCAGGGGAAUAAAGUGCAGGACGUGUCCUGUUUUGUAUGUACCCUGAGAAUAAGGAUCGGCUAACUCCGUGCCAGCCGCCGC